GAGUGCUGGGUUCUGUAGGCCAGAGGUCUGAGGUAGUGGCUUUUAGAGCUCAGCAUCUU
This is a microRNA precursor of Macaca fascicularis (crab-eating macaque), 59 nucleotides long. The record is from Ensembl. Lineage: Eukaryota; Metazoa; Chordata; Mammalia; Primates; Cercopithecidae.